AGCUCCAAUAGCGUAUAUUAAAGUUGCUGCAGUUAAAAAGCUCGUAGUUGGAUUUGUGGCGCGGUCGUCCGGCGGGGCUUCCGGUUUCAUAGUAUCCCGGGGCCGUUUGUCUGGGUUCUUGGCCGCCCCAUUCUUCGGUUGCGUGUUGCUGGCAUUAGGUUGUCGGCUUCUUCGCGCCGAUCGUUUACUGUGAAAAAAUUAGAGUGUUCAAAGCAGGCUUAGGCCGUUGGAUACAUUAGCAUGGAAUAAUGAGAUAGGGCCACGGCGGUCUAUUUUGUUGGUUUGCACGUUGUGGUAAUGAUUAACAGGAACGGUUGGGGGUAUUCGUAUUCAAUUGUCAGAGGUGAAAUUCUUGGAUUUAUGGAAGACGAACUACUGCGAAAGCAUUUACCAAGGAUGU
This 400-nucleotide ribosomal RNA is filed under the name phytoplankton environmental sample. RNAcentral describes it as "partial small subunit ribosomal RNA". It matches the Rfam family "Eukaryotic small subunit ribosomal RNA", at positions 587 to 967 of the family's 1831-position model. The record is from RNAcentral.